RNAcentral lists this ribosomal RNA (493 nucleotides) under uncultured Escherichia sp. RNAcentral describes it as "bacterial SSU rRNA". It matches the Rfam family "Bacterial small subunit ribosomal RNA", at positions 30 to 510 of the family's 1533-position model. Lineage: Bacteria; Pseudomonadati; Pseudomonadota; Gammaproteobacteria; Enterobacterales; Enterobacteriaceae. The record is from RNAcentral.
AUUGAACGCUGGCGGCAGGCCUAACACAUGCAAGUCGAACGGUAACAGGAAGCAGCUUGCUGCUUCGCUGACGAGUGGCGGACGGGUGAGUAAUGUCUGGGAAACUGCCUGAUGGAGGGGGAUAACUACUGGAAACGGUAGCUAAUACCGCAUAACGUCGCAAGACCAAAGAGGGGGACCUUCGGGCCUCUUGCCAUCGGAUGUGCCCAGAUGGGAUUAGCUUGUUGGUGGGGUAACGGCUCACCAAGGCGACGAUCCCUAGCUGGUCUGAGAGGAUGACCAGCCACACUGGAACUGAGACACGGUCCAGACUCCUACGGGAGGCAGCAGUGGGGAAUAUUGCACAAUGGGCGCAAGCCUGAUGCAGCCAUGCCGCGUGUAUGAAGAAGGCCUUCGGGUUGUAAAGUACUUUCAGCGGGGAGGAAGGGAGUAAAGUUAAUACCUUUGCUCAUUGACGUUACCCGCAGAAGAAGCACCGGCUAACUCCGUGCCA